This 492-nucleotide ribosomal RNA is filed under the name uncultured bacterium. RNAcentral's name for it is "bacterial SSU rRNA". It matches the Rfam family "Bacterial small subunit ribosomal RNA", at positions 28 to 507 of the family's 1533-position model. The record is from RNAcentral.
GAUGAACGCUAGCUACAGGCUUAACACAUGCAAGUCGAGGGGAAACGAUAUUGGAAGCUUGCUUCCGAUAGGCGUCGACCGGCGCACGGGUGAGUAACGCGUAUCCAACCUGCCCAUCACUUGGGGAUAACCUUGCGAAAGUAAGACUAAUACCCAAUGACGUCUCUAGAAGACAUCUGAAAGAGAUUAAAGAUUUAUCGGUGAUGGAUGGGGAUGCGUCCCAUUAGCUUGUUGGCGGGGUAACGGCCCACCAAGGCGACGAUGGGUAGGGGUUCUGAGAGGAAGGUCCCCCACAUUGGAACUGAGACACGGUCCAAACUCCUACGGGAGGCAGCAGUGAGGAAUAUUGGUCAAUGGACGAGAGUCUGAACCAGCCAAGUAGCGUGCAGGAUGACGGCCCUAUGGGUUGUAAACUGCUUUUAUAAGGGAAUAAAGUGAGUCUCGUGAGACUUUUUGCAUGUACCUUAUGAAUAAGGACCGGCUAAUUCCGUG